RNAcentral lists this ribosomal RNA (575 nucleotides) under Micromonosporaceae bacterium Ri2Pt_3943. RNAcentral's name for it is "bacterial SSU rRNA". It matches the Rfam family "Bacterial small subunit ribosomal RNA", at positions 417 to 1003 of the family's 1533-position model. The record is from RNAcentral. Lineage: Bacteria; Bacillati; Actinomycetota; Actinomycetes; Micromonosporales; Micromonosporaceae.
UUCGGGUUGUAAACCUCUUUAGAAGGGGCAAAGGGAGAGUGACGGUACGUGCAGAAGAAGCACCGGCCAACUACGUGCCAGCAGCCGCGGUAAGACGUAAGGUGCGAGCGUUGUCCGGAUUUAUUGGGCGUAAAGAGCUCGUAGGCGGCUUGUCGCGUCGACCGUGAAAACUUGGGGCUCAACCCCAAGCCUGCGGUCGAUACGGGCAGGCUAGAGUUCGGUAGGGGAGACUGGAAUUCCUGGUGUAGCGGUGAAAUGCGCAGAUAUCAGGAGGAACACCGGUGGCGAAGGGGGGACUCUGGGCCGAUACUGACGCUCAGGAGCGAAAGCGUGGGGAGCGAACAGGAUUAGAUACCCUGGUAGUCCACGCUGUAAACGUUGGGCGCUAGGUGUGGGGGGCCUCUCCCGUUUCCUGUGCCGCAGCUAACGCAUUAAGCGCCCCCCCUGGGGAGUACGGCCGCAAGGCUAAAACUCAAAGGAAUUGACGGGGGCCCGCACACCCGGCGGAGCAUGCGGAUUAAUUCGAUGCUACGCUAAGAACCUUACCUGCGUUUGACAUGGCCACAAAACCUCCA